This 43139-nucleotide long non-coding RNA is filed under the name Nicotiana benthamiana. RNAcentral's name for it is "long non-coding RNA (NBEN_LNC003810)". The record is from RNAcentral. Lineage: Eukaryota; Viridiplantae; Streptophyta; Magnoliopsida; Solanales; Solanaceae.
UCUACAGUCAAAAGUUCCCUUAUGCAGAGCAAGCUAGGACACUGGCCCACCGCACUUGCGGAGCUGGGCUGCUCAUGCGUAACCGUUGCUGCCACCACUUCUUUCACGCCUGCAAACACUGACGCUUCUGCGUGUCACAACCUUUGCACAUGCGCAUUGGCAAGUUCACUAAUUUCCUCACUCCUUCCAAUCCUGGACAACCUUUGCUUGUUCGCUAUUGCGGCUCUUGGCUCGCACCUAUAAGUUCGCGCCUGGGGCUAGCCAAACGCAUGUACGAUUACACCAGGAGCUAGGAGCUUAAGUUGUUUCUCCCAAGUUCCGACUUGGUUUGAGUCUCAUCUAAUUAAUACAGGAGCUCACUAGGCCCCACCCGAAUAUACCAAAAAGUUUGGGAUCUUACAAAGAACUCGCUCGAAGUUUUAGAAUGCCCGAAACAAUAUUAAAGCUAAGAAUCACACCCCAAACCAAUUGAAUAAAAAAUAUGAACUUUAGGUUUUUCAAUUUACUCUCAAUGCGCUGAAACGUACUUAACUACUCAUAAUAACACCAAAUUUUAUGUGCAAGUCUAAAAUUACAUUACAGAACUAUUCAAGGUUUCGGAAUUAUAUUUGGACCUUGAUAACACAAAAACCUACUCCAAACCAAAUUUAAAGAACUUUAAAAUUCGAAGAACCAACUUUCACUAUUAGGCGCCAAAACGCUCUUGGGAAAUCUAAAAACCCGAUCCGAACACAUGCCCAAGUCUGAAAUCACCAUACGAACCUAUUGGAACCAUCAAUUUCUGAUUCCGGGGUCGUUUGCUAAAAAAUGUAGACCAAUGUCAAUCUUAGCCUUUUUAGCCAACCUUAUGGAACCAAGUGUUAUAAUUUCAACCCUAACCCUUUCAAAUCAUGAACGAACCAUUCCCCAAGUCACAAAAUAAUAAAAUCAUGUAUGAAAAGUCUUAUUUACGGGAACAUGGUUCUAACAAGCAUAACGACCAGUCGGGUCAUUACAUUCUCAACCUCUUAUCAAAUGUUUGUCCUCGAACGGGUCUAGAAUAAUACUUGGAGUGCUGAAUAAGUAUGGAUUUCUGCUCCGUAUGUCCUCCUCGGACUCCCUGUUUGCCCCUUCGAGUGGUUGAACCCUCCAGGGAAAUCCUCUUUGAUCUCUACUGGCUUACCUGCCUAUCAAAUAAUGGCUACUAGCUCCUCCUCAUAACCGAAGCUCUCAACUAACUGAAUCGUGCUGAAGUCCAGCACAUGUGACAAGUUGGCAUGAUACUCCUAGAUCAUAUGCACAUAGAAAACUGGAUGAACUCCCGAUAGACUAGGAGAUUAAGAAUGCACAUAAACAACCUCCCCAACUCGUCUUAACACCUCAAAUGGGCCUAUAAACCUUGUGCUCAACUCGCCAUUCUUCCUAACUCUCAUAAUCCCCUUCUUCGAUGAGACAUUCAAGAGAAAUUUUUCACCCCACCAUAAAUUAUAAAUGAUGCGCCUUCUAAUCCACAUAACACUUCUGUCUAGACUGUACUAUGCAUAGUCGUUCUUGAAUCAACUUUACCUUUAAGCAAGGCAUCCUUAACCAAAUGAGUACCAUAUAACUUAGCCUCACCGGCUCAAACCACCCGGGGGAAGAAUGACAUAACCUACCAUAUAAAGCGUCAAAUAGAGCCAUAUUGAUGCUGGACUAAUACUUGUUGUUAAAAGCAAACUUUGUUAAAGGUAAGAAUAGAUCCCGCUACCCUUCGAAGUCAAUUACCCAUUCUCUAAGCAUGUCCUCCAAGAUUUGAACGAUCCGCUCUGGCUGCUCGUUGGUACGUGGAUGAAAUGUUGUACUGAGCUCUACAUGAGUGUCACACCCAAAACCAUGGGGGCGAGACUGGCAGCCGGUACCUCACCUAUCAUUGCGUACCAACUUGUCUCUAGGUAAUGAUAUGAUAUGUCUACAAGCCUAUUCUGACGGUUGUACUAUGAUCGGAGUAGAGCCCCGACUUACCCACAAUAUAUAUAUAUACAUAUAUACAAAAGAUGUACAUAAAACUCUAGAUCUGACAACUCUGAAAGACGUGGAGCUUACCGUAAAUCUGAACUCGGGAAACAUCUCUGAGGAGGUCAACCCGUCUGUCUUUCUGAACCUGCACACAUGAAAUGUCGCGUCCCAUAAAGGGAUGUCAAUAUGAAAUAAUGUACUGUGUAUGUAAGGCAACAGAAUAACUGAAAGCCGAAACUGAACUGACAAUAUAUUAACUAAAAGUAACUGGGAGUCAAAGAUAAUAUGAAGAUAUGCCUACCUGCUUAUACUAACUCAACUUUUUCAAUAUAGUAAGUAAAUAAGUUGUCCGGCUUUUUAAGGCUCUGUCGUAGUGCGCUCGCUCAUAAGAGCUCGUCCAUACUAGGCUCUGUAUUUUGGCAAACUGAGCUUGCUCAUAGAUGCUCGGUCACAAUAGGCUCGGUAUAUAACUUACCCUCUGAUCUGAGGUUUUCUAAUAAGGGCCUGCCACCGAUUAUAGCACGAUGGUGGUAAAAGUAUUGUAAUUUUGUGUGUGUGUGUGUGUAUAUAGAUCUUUUACUCUCUUGAGUUGAAGAAGACAAUACUCAAUUGAAUAGAAAGUCCCGAUAAUGGAAAAUACUAUAACUUAUGAGAUAAAGAUAAUGUAUAUAAAUUUGGGAGUAUGAACUUAUCUUUAUGCCUCUUUAUCAAACAUAUUUAAUUCCGAGAACAUGCCAAAUAAAGGAAAGGUGUAGCAUUAUUAUACUUGAGCCGAUUCUCUUGACAAUUCCUCUAAAACACAUCAAGUAGUUGAAUAUCAGUAUGAUAUUUUUUAAAAAUAUUGCACCGUACUACCUUAAAAUUAUAAAAUACUAUUGCUAUUAUGUAAUAUAGUUUUGUAUGAAAUUUUUGUUGAAGCAGAGUCACGUCAAUCUAUCUCACGAAAAAGAAUCAUAAGAAAUCUUGUUUGGUCUUUCACUCAAAAGUGACUUGUUUACAAGAUAUAUGAAAUUCCUUACCUUUAAGAUUUGUGGGCCCCAUUUGUAGGGAUUAUUUAAUCCAAAAUUACUCUACAUAUGCCACCUAACUAUCAAGACCAAAUAGUCACAAUUACUUCAAGGCCUUGCUUCCGUAUUGGGAGAUUUAAUUCUUAUUCAAAUAUUUGAAUUAAUUAUAUAUUAGUCAUUUGAAUAACUUUUUAAUCUCCCAUUAACUAAUAAUUAACCAAUGAUCUAAAUAAUUAAUUAUUAUCUUCAAUUACUUAAAAUACUAUCCACCUUUAACCUACCUUAUACACAUUACUGUUAUGGUUAUGUGGUACCUUGUAUGGCACUAGUCCAUAAAUAUAAGGUAUUAUAGCUUGGACCGUAUUUUAUCCCAAAUUGCAAAACUCUGGCGAAAUUUAUUUUUUUCGAUUUUCUUACCCUCUAACCUUCACGAAUUUACUCAUCACUUGUUUGAAGUAGAAAAAUAAUUAUAAUAAUAUCAUUUUCAAACUUAUGUUAGUUAAUUUAUGACGAAACUUUAACGUAUAAAAAUGCAAGAUGUAACAUCUCAUUUCCAAGCUUAUAUCAAUUUACUUAUGGCAUACUUCCAUGUAUGAGAACAUGGGUGUAAUAUCAUUCCCCAUUUAGAACAUUUGUCCUCAAAUGUUGACUGAUGCACUUAUCAUUUUCAUAAGUUAUGUCUUCUGAAUACUUGAGUACUCUCCUUGCCAUCUAGGCCAAUGUUAUGUGAAUUAUUCCAAAGGCUUGGGCAUUCUCUCCCCCCCCCCCCUCGUUAGGCAUCUUUUUNNNNNNNNNNNNNNNNNNNNNNNNNNNNNNNNNNNNNNNNNNNNNNNNNNNNNNNNNNNNNNNNNNNNNNNNNNNNNNNNNNNNNNNNNNNNNNNNNNNNNNNNNNNNNNNNNNNNNNNNNNNNNNNNNNNNNNNNNNNNNNNNNNNNNNNNNNNNNNNNNNNNNNNNNNNNNNNNNNNNNNNNNNNNNNNNNNNNNNNNNNNNNNNNNNNNNNNNNNNNNNNNNNNNNNNNNNNNNNNNNNNNNNNNNNNNNNNNNNNNNNNNNNNNNNNNNNNNNNNNNNNNNNNNNNNNNNNNNNNNNNNNNNNNNNNNNNNNNNUUUUUCCAAAGGUUUGGCUUUCCUCCCCCCCCCCCCCCUCGUUAGGCAUCUUUUUCAUACCACGACUUAUAGUUGGAAUCCUUCUAAUCUCGUAAUUGUUGCUACCUUCUAUCAUGCAGCCUAUACGACACUGACCUUGUACAUGCGCCCAUGUAACUCUUUCUAGCUUCUGGCCAAUCUCUAGGCCUCACUUUGAUAACAUAUACAGAGCUUGAUAAAAUGUCCCUCUGGGCAUUUAUAGGUAUACUGAAGGUCUUUGUUCAGUACUUUGUCAAACUUACACAUGUUGCUAUACCUUAUUUCAUAGAUCCGUUUAUCCAUCCGUAUGACUUUACUGCAUGUAGGUAGUUUAUACUAUACCAUAACUCUUACUUUGAUUUAUAGUUACUGAGGCCUUCUACCAAUCUCCAGGUCACUCUCAUUGCUUAUCCUUAAGAUUGAUGGCUUAAUCUCACCUCAUACUUUGUAACUUUUAUCCAUCCAUUAUGGUUCACCUCAAUAUUGAUCUACAAUCUACCACUGAUAACUUGAAACUUCUUACUUAAUCACUAGGGAUGAUGUCUAAUUGGGGAACAUCUAAAAUGAUUAUACUGAUCCACCUAGGGGCAAUACCAUGCUUCCAUAACCGUGUUCAUAACUUCCCAAUAUAAUUCACCUUAUUUGGGUAUUUUAAUUUCUUAUAAUUCAUGAAUCCUUUCUUUCCUUUUUUUUUCAAAUCAUUAUUCAAUCGAAGGCCCAAACGUCAUCCUUUAUCUUUCACAAUUACACCCUCAUUCUACUACCAAAAUGCUAUUAGUAUUAGACUCAUUUAAGUUCGUUCAGGCUGUGCUGAGCUUUCUAUAACUUAAAGAAACCAUUAGCUCUCUUAUUUCCAUGGGCUUAAUCAUGAGGACUUAUCCAUUUCUCGUCACCCUUUCUUCCCCUUACUCAUAUCAUAAAACAUUGUCACUUUAAUAAACUUUAACUUGCGAUCUAUACAUGCCUAUUUAUACUACUCGCAACCUCCCUUCAAAUUGCUUGCACCAUAUCUCUUGGGAAGAUCUCUCGGUACCUAGAAGCCAGAGGCUGGAAGAUAUGCCACUGACGAUGCCACUAUCAUUCCUGGAUAUAGAAUCCCUAUGCUUCUAACCUUCUAUAUGAACUAUGAACUAUUCACAACUUUCUACACUUGAGUAUUUCACACGUUGUUUAACUUUACCUUAAAAUCUUGCAUCAUAUCUUCUAUCUCUUUCAUGGCCUCCCUUCCACAUAGGUAUAAUUCACAUCCAUAACUUGAAGCUCUUGUUAUAACACUUAUACCUUUGGUGCAUACACGAUCCGGUGAGAACUUCAUAUUGACUUCUUAUGAGGCUGGUACUUUUCUAACUAACGUUAUCGUAGAGCCAUUAUAGAAUAUGGCUACUGUACUAUCUCUCUUGUACCUCUUAUAUUAAGAGUGAUUCUGCAAUGUUCAAAAUUACGAUUUCUAUAAUUUUCUAUGUCCAAUAAUCAGACUCCUGACUUAAUGGUUGAUGUAACUCUUUAGUUUACUCUUCCUUCUAAUCAGUCUUCAUGUAGGCAUAAGCUAUUUUUCGAUCUACGGCUUCUAGUAUUAGUUAUUACUUUUGCCUUUCAUGGGCGCUAUGGAAUAUCUAUGAUACAAUCUUCAAACAAUCAAUCCUUCGUCUAAGCCCAGGGAUCAAUUAUUUCUUUUAACCUAUACUGGAGUAUUCUAAAACUAUGUGAAUGUCAGUAUAUAUGCUGCAUAGAUAAUAUUCCAAAAUCUUAAGCGCAUUCAUGACGUAACUACUCUGGAUCAUUUAUCGAAUAAUUCCUUUAGUUCCUUCUCAACUUUCUUCAAAUGUAAGUAAUUACUUUUCCUAGUCUUUCUGGCCCCUUGUUGCGUGCAUAUUUAUCUUAUCUUAGUUCCUGCGUUGCCGAAGUUUUCAUGCAACUUCAUAUGAUAUCGAAUAUUACUUUUGAUUUUCUUCCCAUUCAGUAGCCAAGGUAGGUUCAACUUUCUCAUGAAGUGUGUACAAUAUUAUUGUGAGACUAUUUUUACAUGACCCUUUCUCCUUCAAUUUACCAUAUUUAGGUUGAAGCCUUAUUCCUUAUUUCCUUCGCUGGUCUUUCAUUGUAGUAUUUAGGAAGGAGCUUCUGACUCUUGUAAAGUUGUGAUCUUAUUAUAUCGUAUCCGACAGAAUUUUUUAUGUCCUCCCUAGCCUAAAAUUAUCUGUAGUUACCUACCUCCACACCCCUGUGCUUGUAGGGUUGCUUCUGAACUAAAAUUUUGACAGUCUUCCAAGUGGCAUCCUCUUUUAUUUCUAUAACACUCAUACAAUACCUUUAACUUUCCCAAAUCUUAUUUGGAUAUACCUCAAGUAUUACAAUUUCAUAUCUGCGAGACUGAAUUCCCCAGGUCGGGGUUCACUAUAUUUAUAUUGCACGAUCUUUUGAUUUGUUUGUAUCAUCUGUCUAGCCAUAACUAGGCUCUUCCUAAAUUAACUACUAACUACUCAUUGGUCCAUUCUCAUAUCAAUAUUCCAUGUAAUCUUUCUUGGGUUAUUUUCUUUGUCUUAACUUACGUCUCCUACAGGCUCCUUAUUUAUCAAUAACACUCGGGAAGGAACCCGUACUUCCUCUCCUUGACAUCGUGUUUUCAUAAUGUUCUGGAAUCAUAGCAUAUCUGUAGGUUUUGGAUAAGUGCAAUUUCUUCCCUUUCUCAUUUUUAUCCCAAUACUCCAUAGUUACUAAAACUAUUUAAUUCUGACUUAAUAUAACAUCACUCCAUAUUCCACCCUUUAGGGGAGUACUAAGAGUUGGAUCUUCAACAAUCUACUUACAGAUGAUUUACCGCUUCAUUUUUGGCAUUUUGCCACAUCACCAAUGACCCUUACUCUCCUUGCGGUAAUCCUUCUUUACAAAGGAUAACGAAAUUCUUUACUUGCGAAGGGUGAUAAUUACUAUAACUGGCACAUACAGUCUCGUAUGAUUAACUUUACAGUCCUUUAAGAUUAAUUUUUCUCAUAUUGUUUGCUUUAGGAAAGUGUCUUCCUGGAUGACCAUUCUCCGAAAUUCUCGUGAAUCUUCUUCUGUGUCUAUUCUGUUAUCGCCGGAAUGAAAUCUAAAAUUCUCAUAAUGUCGACCAUUAUCAAAUCAUGUAGUCAUUUAUUCAUGUUUAGUUUAUCUUGUUCACCAGCCCAUAUUGUUAUUUUGGGGUCUAACCUUUCCUUCUAGUAGUUGUGUUAGAGUCAGGAACUUAUUACUCGAAAUGAGGAUAUGACUUUAUGGCCUAUUCUCUUUUGUUGUCUCAAGUCCUGUCACCUCUCAUAAUUUCCUUCACUUGACGAUAGACCCUCUAAUAUUGCUUUUUUUUAUCUACCGUUGACAUCUAUAUAUCACAUCUUACUCAUAAUGCUUUAUUAUUUCCCGCUAACAUUUAUGUCUAUCACUUUAUCCUGAAAACUCGAACAAGACAUUAUUUUUCUUUUAGCUCCCUUUGUUCUAUUCAUUGGCUCUUUGGAUUGCCUAACAUUCUCUCUCUACUAGGGAGGGGAGCCACACUAAGCUAAUAUUUAUCCCUUAUAGACUUCUAGUGCCUAUCUUUGUAAAAAAAAAAAUUGAACAUUGUUGUAGUCAUAUCUAGUUGUAGUAUUCUAGAGGGCACCAUCUGGGUGUCUCGCAAGAAGAUUUAUUCGCACAUUUACAAUAUCCUUCAGAAAUGUCAACUAACAAAUACAAUCCACCCAUCAUUUUGGGUUAUUCUAACCCUAGCCAGAUCCUGAUAUUCGUCCUUUUCUUAUACUACUUCUAUUAGCUCGCAUAGGGUAUAAAUAAGAUAGUGUGGCCAAUUGUACAUACCUCUGUUAUUGUUGAAGGUAACACAAAAGGCUUAUAUUCAUCUGCCUGAACUGUAAAUAUUGAUAAUGUUCAUCAAUUUGGCACCUCGUGCCUUUCUUCACCUUGCUUCUUUUACUUGUUGAAACUUUUAUCUAUCUUAUGAAUCUCUCACCGCCUUCCACUAUCAGGGUGGAUAGAUAUUCUUGUCGUCAGGCUCCUUAUUAAGGGCUUAUACGUCUUAGUACACAUAUGAUCUACUGAAAACUUUACAUUUACUCAUCGUAAACAUCAUGAAGUAUUUAGUUCCUCUCAGUCAACUCUUCCAUAGUCAUAUUCAAUCUCUUACCAACUGUAGCUAUCGUCUUUUUAUGAAUGAAAUAGAAACUACGAGUUUGAAUUCUUAUAAGAGAGCUCUACCACACGAUCUAGAGUAAGAAGACAGAGUGAUAGUCCUAAAUUUCAUAUAGCCUCCUGCUUAUAAGUGUUGUGCACUACACACCCAUAAACAAGACUCUACUAGACACGACUUGUAGGCUCCCUGGGACAAAAUUGCUCUGAUACUACAUUUGUCGCGCCCCGUACCUGGGGGGCUAGACCAGCAGCUCGUGCCUCACCAAUCGUUGCGUACCAACUUACGACUAAGGAACUCUGAACAUAUAAUGUCAUACAUUGGCCAUGGGCCACAUUGCAAGACAAUUUGCGAAUGCUAACUAAACAUCAACAUAAAUCUAAGCCGACAAGGUUGUCAUAACUACUACAGCUGACAAACUAAUAAAAUAUACAUAUAUGGCCUACAAGCCCAACAUACUGCACUAAUUGACGAGAUAUGUUUACAAGCCUUUAUUGAUGGAUGUACUGUGAUCGGAGUAGAGCUCUGAUCUACCCAUAACAUAUAUAUACAUAUAUACACAAGAAGUACAUAAAACUCUAGACCCGACAACUCCGAAGGACGUGGAGCUUACCGAUAAAGCUGAAUUUGGGAAACACUUACUGAGGAGGCCUACCCAUCUAUCUGUCUGAACCUGUACGCAUGAAAUGCAACGUCCAAUAAAAAAAGGGAUGCCAGUACUAAAUAAUGUACUAAGUAGGUAAGGUAAUAGAAUAAUUGAAAGUUGAAACUAAAAUGAUAAUAUAAUAAUUGAAAGCAACUGGGAGUCAGAGAUAAUAUGAAGAUAUGCUUACCUGCUGAUACUCACUCAACUCUCUCAAUAUAGUAAGUAAGAUAGCUUUCCAGCCCUAUAAGGCUCGGUAUGUAUAACUGCUUUACAGUAGUAGGCUCGCUAAUAGACGUUGGCCAGACUAGGCUUUAUAUCUCGGCCAAUUAGGCUCGUUCAUAGGCGCUCGACCAUAGUAGGCUCGGCAUAUAACUUACCAUCUGAUCAGAGGUUGACCAAUAGGGGCCUGCCCUUGGUGGUAAUAUAUAUAUGCACACACACAAACACACACAUUGCUCUCUUUAUUGGAAGAAGACAUUACUCAAUUGAAUAGAAAUUACCUAUAUGGGACAAUAUUGUAACUUACGAGACUAGCAUAUUAUAUAUAAAUUCGGGAGUAUGAACUUCUCUUUGUGACUCAUUAUCAGACAUAUGUAUAUACAAUAUUAUGCCAAAAUGAAGGAAAGGUUUAGCCUUAACAUACCCGAGCCGAUUCUCUUUACAAUCCCACUAACACACGUCAACUGCGAUAACACGUAACGACAGAUCGAAGAAGGAGAAUUAUCCGUAUGAUAUUCUUGAGAAAGAUUGUAUUGUACUCCCUUAGAAUCGCAAAAUCGCGUUUUAAUUAUGCAAUAUAAUUUCACAUAAAAUUUUUGUUGAAGUAGAGUCACGUCAAUCCAUCUCACUUUGUAAAAGAGUCAUAUGAAAUCUUGUUUAGUCUUUCACCUGUAAGUAACUCAUUUACAAGAUAUAUGAAAUCCCUUAACUUUGAGAUUUAUGGGCCCCACUUUUGUCACGACCCAAAAUCCUCUAAGUGUCGUGGUGGUGCUGAACACAGCUGUUAGGCAAGCCAACUGAAAUGCUUAAUUCAAUUCUAACUUUAAUAUUUGCUCAAGUCAUUUUCCUUUAUACGUUAAAUAACAAAUAAUGAACUAUGCAGAAAUAACCAUGGGGUCUUUAACAUACUUAAUAUUGAAAAAUCCUAUGACCAUCCCAGAACCUGGUGUCACAAGUGCAUGAGCGUAUACUAUGAAGGAAAUAAAAAUAUAACAUCCGUCCAGAAUACAAUGGACAAAAAGUAAAUACAAUAUACUGGAAGGGAUUAUACUAGCUGAGGGCCGCCUCGCAUAAUGCAACUCACCUAGUUUCUGAAUCAUCCAUGCUGCUACGCCCAAUAGGCCUCUAGAAACACAUGAACCUAUGCAACAAAAAAUGCACAGAAGUGUAGUAUGAGUACGAAAACAACGUGUACCCAAUGUGUAUCCCGUCAAAUCUCGAAGAGGUAGAGACGAGAGGUCAAAUUCGACACUUACUAAGGGUCCAGUACUAUGAUGUCAGUAAUACAUUAAAUCAUGGAUUUCAAUAAACAUGAUUUUUAACCAAUAGAAAGAAACAAGUAAACAAUUAUUUCUUUAAUAAUAUUUCCAAAAUUCCUUUUUCAUUAUUUUUCCAAAUAAUCUCAAGCCAUGAAGAGGCAAUAACAACAUUAAUAAGUUCAAGGCAGCAAUACAAGCAUGCGCAAAUCAUGCCGAGGUCGACGGCCCGCUCCAACACAAAAUAAACUGUGCACUGCCGAGGGUUGACGGCACCAAUCAUAGAUACAUCUAUUUAAUCCGCCUAGGCGUUCGGCCCGCUCCAACAGGAAAUAAACACACAGGGAAUCAAUCAAGAAGUCAUCAUGGAAAAAUUUUCCGAAGAAAAAACAAUUCUCAUUAAUAAUUUAAGAAAGUGAAGUUUAAAUCCUCUUAGAAAUUCGUUUACUAAUUCAAUGUGAUUUAAGCAAGUAAAGUUGUCAAUAAGUUUACAAUUAAUCCAAGUAAAGCAUGCUUUUUGGUCCUAACUACUCGGACAAUGGCAUAAUAGUAGCUACGCACGGACUCUUAUCACCUCGUGCAUACGUAGCCCCCACAAUUAGGAGCGCAUAACCGAUUAUUUCACCUAUGGGACAAUUCCCUCUUACAAGGUUAGAAAGGAGACUCACCUCGCUCCGAAGUUUCAUAACCGACAUUCCACGCACUUUCGAAGACUCAAAUCGAUGCAAAAAUGCUCUAAAACUAGCCAAUAAUUAUAAAAAUUAAUUAAUAUAUGCUAAGGUACUCAUUGUAAUCCAAUUUAUUACAAUUCCAACCCCGAUCGAAAAGUUGACAAAAUCGCCCUCAGUCCCACGUGCCCGUAUUUCCAAAAUUUUUGAAGAAUAAGUUUACCCAUAACCUCAUGAACUCAAAUAUUCGAUUUACUCUUAAUUUCAUGCCCAACCGUGGUCAAAUUUCAAGAACAUCAAUUUUCUAGGUUUUCAUCUAAACCCCUUGAUUUUCCUUAAUUUUUACAUAUUUAUCUACCCAUAAUUUAUGUAUUUAACUUAAGAUGCGUAGAAAUUACUUACCUCUUUGAUAAUGACGUAAUCCCUCCUCAAAUGCUCUCAAAAAUCGCCCAAGGAAAAGUGGGAAAUGAGGAAAAUGGGCUAAGUUUCGAAUUUAAUAACUCGACACAGCCCUUAGAUGUCGCAUUUGCAAUACCUGGUUCGCAAAUGCGACAGUCGCAAAUGCGAAAAAACAAUCAGAAUUGCGAACGUGGGCCUCCCUUUCCAAGGUCGCAGACCAAGAGCUCGAAAAUGCGAACACUGCCUUAGGCCAGGGUCCUUCGCAAAUGCGAAUCCUAACUUGCAAAUGCAAGAUCACAAAUGCGAACCAUUUCUCGCAUUUGCGAGGCUUGCAAUUGCUGCCAAAAAAUACCAGAAAACAUGGGGUGCUCCAACUCCUCCCGCAAAUCCGAAACUCACCUGAGGCCCCCCGGACCCUGUCUAAUCACACCAACCCACUCCAUAACAUAACAUUGACCUGCUUGAGGCCUCAAAUCAUACUAAACAACGCUAAAAUUAUGAAUCAACCUCCAAUUCAAGCUUUAUCAACUUUAGAAUUUCAAACAUCUACUUUCGAUGCCGAAACCUAUCAAAUGACAACCGAUUGACUUCAAAUUUUACACACAAGUCAUAUUUGACAUUACGGACGUACUACAACUUCCGGAAAUGGAUUCCGACCCUGAUAUCAAAAAUUCCACUUUCGGUGAAACUUCUCAAAAACCAUCAAAUUUCUAUCUUUAUCCAAAUGGCUCCAAAAUGACCUACGGACCUAUGAAUUCACUUCCGACCGCCCUCCCAACUCAAGAACUUCAACACGGAGCUGUUCCCAUACUAGAAAUCCCAAACGGACAUCGAUAUCACUGAAAUGCACUUCAACCCAAACUUAUGAAAUUUCUUUCAAUAUGCUACUUUCCACAAUAGGUGCAAAAAUGUUUCCGGGUCAUCAAAAACCCUAUCCAGGCAUACGCUCAAGUCUGAACUCAUCAUACGAACCCACUGGAACUUUCAUAUCCCAAUUCUGAUGUCGUUUACUCAAAAGUCCAAUCCUAGCUAAUUCUUUCAACUUUAAGCUUCUGAAAUGAGAAUUCUCUUUCCAAAUCAACUCUGAACAUCCCGAAACUUAACUCCAACCAUGCGUACAAGUCUUAAUUCCUGAAAUGAAGCUGUUCAUGGCCUCAAAUUGCUGAACAAUGUGCUAAAGCUCAAAACAACCGGUCUGGUCGUUAUAUUCUCUCCCAUUUAAACAUAUGAUCAUCCUCGAACGUGCUGAGAACUACACUAAAGUAGUUUGAAAUAACUAUUUAACCUCUCAUGCACCUGCGCUACCAUAACUUAGUUGAGCACAUCAGCUCGAUCAAUUCUGAAGAUAUUCCCUUUUAUUCAAACAAAUAAGCCUUAGAGCCCAAUUCCAACAUCCGGAAUUCUACGCUCGGCCUGCUUCCAACAUAUGAUCACUAUAUCCAUCACUACACAUUGUUCCCAAGCAUGACUGCACCACUUUGCUGAAUUCACACCUUGCAUCACUUUAAUCACCGUACCACAAUAACACUUUCUGAUCAAUUUAGUCAAAAUUCCACGAAUAUGGUGCUCCCAUUGCACCUUAUGACAUACAUAGGUCUUGCUCUAAUUCUUACAGGGCCGCCUUGAUGGAAGAGAUGUGUAGAAAUUCAUAACCGACGAUCGAAUCAGCAAAUCAUUAGGUCUAUACUCCUGACAAGAACCAUCACCUCAUUCUGAACCAAAUAAUGGACUUAGCUCCUUAAUAUACUUCACAUAAUCAGAUUGCACUGAUCCUAACUCCAAUAAUCUCGUCUCACCCAGUAUGAACUACUCAGGCAGUAAGCCAUCCUGUACAUGAUCAAAAUUCUCAUACAAUGCUACAAUGUGCCAAUAGGCUACCAAUUAGAAUGCCAUACAAAAAGGAAAAUAAACUCUAAAAAGGAAUUUUAGUUACCCCGCUCGAUAAUUAUACAUGUGAUGCGGGCGCACAGCUAAUAUUCUUUCAAAAAAUAGAAAAAUAGAACAGAAUAAAAAGAUAUGGGAAACUGCACUAAACAUCACACUAUUGCGGCGUGCAACCCGAUCCGAGUAAUUAUAACCAUGGCGGCGUGCCACCCGAUCCAAAUAGCAUACCCAUGGUGUCGUGCCACCCCAUCCACACAUGGAACUCAUAUAAAGAGAUGAACAUUGAGCUAAACUACUCAUUACAACAAAAUAGUGAAUAUCAGUCAUAAACACGCUAAGUGGAUAAUACUAUUCCUUGGAGAAACAUAUAAUGCUAUAAUCAACAAAAUCGAGCACAACUGAAGAUAUAUGAUCUGAAUCUCAAGAGCCAUCCUGCUCAUAUAACUGCAUCUCUAUGCGGAACCUCAACACAUAAGAAAUUCACCAAGCCGUCUCACAACUCGCACGACGCAAUACAUCAUUACAUGAAAUAGCUGACAAUGAAAUAACACCCAGACUCCCUUCCAUAAGGAGCGUAUUGCUGGGAAACACAUCUGGCCUGUUAUAAAGCCCCUGUUCACAUUUAAAUCAAUCCACUGAUCUCGAGCCAAUUUUGGAUUGCACCAAUUAGGCUAAUAACCUUUCAAAGGUCCAUAAUAACUCACCUUUAUGAUCACCAUAGAAGAGAUUUCCUCAGCUACAAACUGCUUCUCUUCACCCUUGUAGUUCACAACAAUCAUUGGCUUAUCACCAGGUCCAGGAAUGACCUUAAAUGGCCAAUGCUUAAUGUCAGACUGCACCAUGGCAUCAGCAAAUCUCCUACCAAUCAACCUUUUCUCAUCAAAGACAGUGUUGAUUGGGUUCAUAGCGACCUAAUUCUUAGCGGCAUCACCAAUGAGACGCUCAGUAUCUAUUUCAUCCGGAGAUAGAAAUAGACUCAACGGAAGUAAUAAACACUAUCAACGAUGGUCAUUUCAAUAGCAUUAUGAACGCUCUCGGUGCAACUUAGCAAACCAAUAGAACGGUGAACUUUUUGGCGCACAAUAGCACGGUGCGAUUGUCGCCGGAAAUGGCCAGACGACGGCGAAAUGUUGCUCCGACUGUUACCUUUGCACCUCCUCAACUUGUUACACCUGCUCAUGGUAUUAGCAUGACGCUUGAACCCCUAACAUUUGGUAACUUCCUCCCACAGAAGUACCAAUCGAAGGAAAUUUCACAUGCAGAGGUUGAAGAAGCAGCUAAUACUCGUUCGAAGGGAAAUGAAGAGAUGAUUGAGUCAACUGCGAGGAGAUUAAAAUUUUCUUAAGUAAUUGAACCUGCAAAAUCAGUACAAACAACUGCUGAAGUUGUCAGAGGAAAUAGAGAUGCACAGAUGGGUAAGACUCUUUCAUUCAUGCCUCCGAUUGAAAGAAAUGGACAAAAAGUGGUUCAACUCAGUGCUGAAGAUCUACAAUCACAGGUAGAUUAUUGGGCAAAUGCUUUAAUAGGAUAUGUUAUAGGUGAUAAUCCAAAUGUUAAAUCAAUUGAGAACUUUGUGUUGCAUGCUUGGAACUUUGUAUCCAAGCCUCAGAUCCUGUUGCAUGCUGAGGGAUACUGUAUUUUUAGAUUCAAUAGCAAGGAGGAUAGAGAACUUUGAGUUAAAUGCUUAGAACUUUGUAUCCAAGCCUCAUAUCCUGUUGCAUGCUGAGGGAAACUGUAUUUUUAGAUUCAAUAGCAAGGAGGAUAAGGAGAUGGUGAUAUAAUCUGGACCAUACUCGUACAGGAAUAAGCCUAUGGUACUGAAACCAUGGGAGAUUGACUUCUCUUUUCAAAAUGUUGUGCUCAGCACUGUUCCUGUAUGGAUCAGAUUCCCAGGCCUCCCAGUGGGCUAUUGGUCAGUGGAUGUCUUGAGCAAAUUGGCCAGUGCAGUGGGUAAACCACUGUACACAGAUAAAAAUGGAUCAGAUUCCCAUGCCUCCCGGUGGGCUAUUGGUCAGUGGACGUCUUGAGCAAAUUGGCCAGUGCAGUGGGUAAAUCACUGUACACAGAUAAAUUCACAGCACACUUUGAGAAAAUCUCAUUUGCAAGAGUUUUAAUAGAAGUUGAUGCUGCCUAUCCCUUGCCUGAUGAGAUUGAAAUUGAAACACCGUAUGGUAUGAAAGUGCAACAAAUAGAGUAUGACUGGAGGCCAAGCUUUUGCAACAAUUGUCUUAAGUUUGGACAUGAUGCAAUUGAGUGCUGGCACAAUAUCAAAAAUGAUGCAGAAUUCGAAAGGGAUGAACAGGUGAAAGUGGAAAAGAAAAGAACUAGGAGACCAAGACAAUACCCAAGGCAAGAGUGGAUACCAAAAGCCACUGCAGAUGUAGCAGAUACUGGGGCAGAUAAAAUUGUUACUGAAACCAAUCAAGUGGAGGUAAAUUCAAGUGGACAUACUGAAGAUAUGAAGAUGGUGAAUACUACUGGACCUCAGCAGAUAUUAGAUGAACAUAGCAGGAUCACAGCAGCUUCAGGGGAUCUUCCUGUAACCAGUAAGGACAUAAAUGCAAUUGCAGAAAAAGGAAAGGCUGUGGAAACUAUUAUGGCUGAUGAUAGAAGGGGAUUCCAAGUGGAUCCAGGACCUUCUUGGAGUAUUAGAUCUAAUACUUCAUGAUUGUUACUACUUGGAAUAUUAGAGGGCUUAAUCAAGCCCAUAAACAGGAGGAACUCAAAAGCUUCCUGUCUGUAAAUAAAGUAGACAUUAUUGGAGUUCUUGAAACUAGAGUAAAGGAGCAUAAAGCAAAAAGAAUACUGGCAAGAGUGGCUAAAGGAUGGAAGGUUCAAUGUAACUAUACUAAGGCUGUCAAUGGUAGGAUAUGGUUACUAUGGAUACCUCAUAUUCAAGUAACCUUAUCUACUGUGACUGAUCAAUUCAUUCAAUGUAUGAUGGAGGAUACACAAGCUUCAAAUAGAUUCCAUUGGAGUGUAGUAUAUGCUCAUAAUACUGCAGGCAAUAGGGAAAGACUAUUGUGUGAUUUAAAGGCAGAAAGUAUUCCCAGUCAGGAUCCUUGGUUGCUCAGUGGGGAUUUCAAUACUAUGCUGAAUUUUGAAGAUAGAAUUGGAUCUCCUGUCACUGAUGCUGAAAUCAAGGAUUUCAAAGAGGCUGUANNNNNNNNNNNNNNNNNNNNNNNNNNNNNNNNNNNNNNNNNNNNNNNNNNCUGAUGCUGAAACCAAGGAUUUCAAAGAGGCUGUAGAUGUAAUUAAACUCACUCCUCUCAGAGCUAAAGGAUGGUAUUAUACUUGGCCAAACAAGCAGGAUGCUAAUACAAGAGUGUAUAGUAAAGUUGACUGGGCACUUGGUAACUUUCAAUGGGUCCAACAGUAUGGGCACCUUGAGGCAGAAUACUUGAACCCUUAUGUAUCUGAUCAUUCUCCUAUACUUAUCAAAUUUGGCAGUCAAAGGCUAUUACAUCCUAAGCCAUUCAGAUUCAAUAAUAUAGUUAUGGAGGAGCCUCAGUUCAAAACCUAUUCUGAAAAAGGUAUGGGCACAGCAAUGUGAAGGACUUCCUAUGCAGAAGGUAUGGACUAAGCUGAAAAUAUUGAAGCAACAACUGAAAGAUAUCAAUAGACAGAUGGCAGCCUAUAAGCAGAAACUUGUACAAGCAAAAGAAACAUUGGAGAUUGUUCAAAGCCAAAUGCAGCAGGAUCCUUUUGCACAGAAUCUACUCAUUGCUGAGAGGAAUGCACUGUCUGAAAUUGAAAAAUGGAGCAAGGUGGAGGAACAGAUUAUGAGACAGAAAUCCAAAGCUAACUGGAUUGAAUGUGGAGAUGCCAACACAAAGUAUUUUCAUGCUCAAUGGAAGAUCAGAACCAGCCAGAAUAACAUCAGCUCUAUAUAUACUGAACUAGGUGACAAGCUGAUAGAGCCAUUAGCUGUGGAGCGGGAAAAGAUCAGAUCCAGCCAGAAUAACAUCAGCUCUAUAUAUACUGAGCUAGGUGACAAGCUGACAGAGCCAUUAGCUGUGGAGCAGGAAUUUAUCCUAGUAUUCAAAUCACUGAUGGGGGAGUGUGCUGAGGAAAUUCCUUGUAUUAACACUGCUGUUAUGAAAGAAGGUACUUGCCUCACUGCAGUACAACAGAGAGAAUUAAUACAAGAAGUCACAGUGGAGGAGAUUGUAGAAGCUAUAAAGGAGAUGCCAACAGAUAAAGCCCCUGGUGUGGAUGGUUUUCCUGUGGAAUUCUUCAAAAGAAACUGGGAGAUAGUGCAAGAGGACAUAGUUGCUGCUACUAUGGAUUUCUUUACUACUUGCAAUAUGCCUAGUAUGAUAAAUACUACAGCAAUUGCACUGGUGCCUAAGAAUGCUAAUCCUACCACUGUCAAAGAUUAUAGGCCUGUUGCCUGUUGUACAACAGUAUACAAAAUCAUUGCCAAGAUAAUUACAAAGAGAAUGAAGACUGUAAUUGGCAAUAUAGUUGGCCAGUCCCAAUCAGCAUUUAUUGAAGGAAGGAGUAUCAUUGAUAAUAUCCUACUCAGUCAUGAAAUUUUCAAGGGAUAUACAAGGAAAGGUGUGUCUCCUAGAUGUGUCCUUAAGGUGGAAAAGAAGGCAUAUGAUACUUUAGAAUGGGGCUUUCUUCAACAGGUUCUUAUUGAUAUUGUAUUUCCUGCAAAGUUCCUCAACUAGAUUAUGGCAUGUGUUUCUACUGUUUUAUAUUCCUUGAUGCUAAAUGGAGGAUUCACUAAACCUUUCAAGGCUAGGAGAGGGAUUAGGCAAGGGGAUCCUAUGUCCCCCUACUUAUUUGUGAUUGCAAUGGAGUAUCUUAACAGACUGCUGCAACAACUUCAUAGGAAUGGAGAUUUUAAUUUCCAUCCUAAAUGCAGAAAGUUAAACAUGAACUUAUGGAACAAUUGGGGUUCAGUGAAGGAGAGUUUCCUUCUAAGUACCUUGGAAUUCCUCUGAGCUCAAAGAAACUUGCUAUACAUCAAUAUUCUACUCUGAUUGAGAAAAUAACUGCUAGAGUCACAUGUUGGUCUGCCAAAAUGUUAUCCUAUGCAGGAAGAUGCCAAUUGAUAAAAGCAGUGAUAUUUGGCAUCCAGACAUACUGGGCACAUAUUUUUAUCAUACCAAAGAAGGUCCUAAAGGUUAUUGAGGCAAUCUGCAGGUCCUUCAUAUGGACAGGUAGUGCCUCUAUAUCUAAAAGAGCUUUGGUUGCAUGGGAGAGAAUAUGUAGACCUAUAUCUGCUGGGGGUCUAAACAUCAUAGAUAUGGCUACCUAGAAUAAGGCAGCCAUAACAAAACUGCUUUGGGACAUUGCUAGGAAAAAGACUGCCUAUAGAUCAAAUGGCUCCAGUGCUACUACAUAAAACAGAAUGAUAUCAGAUAUGUGCCUCUGCCAAAAAUUGCUUUCUGGAUCAUUAGGAAAAUAUUGGAUUGUAGGACUGAAGUCAUGGAGAACCAACAAUUGCAAGGNNNNNNNNNNNNNNNNNNNNNNNNNNNNNNNNNNNNNNNNNNNNNNNNNNNNNNNNNNNNNNNNNNNNNNNNNNNNNNNNNNNNNNNNNNNNNNNNNNNNNNNNAAGUCAUUGUGUAAGCUGGACAAAUUUCAAAUUCACCAGUUAUACCUUGCUAUGCUUCCUAAUUAUAGUAAGGUUGAUUGGAGGAAUGUGAUGCUCACUGUAAAUGUACAGCCAAGACAUAGGUUUACAGUGUGGCUAGCAGCCCAGCACAGAUUACCUACCAUUGAAAUAUUGCACAAGAUAAGAGUUGAUAUACCUACUACAUGUGCUUUCUGUAAAACACAAGAUGAAAGAUUUGAACACCUUUUCUUUGCAUGUCCAGUCACUAACAGAUUAUGGCUUAGAAUCUGUCACUGGAUGGGAUACCAGCGAGCAGUUAACACUUGGGAGGAUGAGCUGCAGUGGAUAUGCAGCAAGGCUAAAAGUAAAAACUGGCAGCAGGCAAUCACUGCAACUGCUUUUGUUACUACUGUUGCAUUGAUAUGGAGGAACAGGAACUCGAUCAGAUUGGAUAACAAGACUUUUGAUGAAGAUCAAUUUUGCAAAGAAGUGGCAGUGUUAAUACAUACAAGAUGUAGGAAAUGUAAAAGGUGCCAGGAAGGGCUACAUAAACUCAACUGCUAUCCUUAGUUUUGAUUAAUAGCUACAUGUUAGUAUUGUCUAUAUGAGAUUGUGUAGUUAGAGUUUAAAUGUACAUGAGUAGUAGGAGCCCAUACUACUACCAUAUGAAUACAUUGUACAUAUCUUUUGAAGUCAAUGAAAUCUACAGUUUAAUGUAAAAAAAAAAAUUUGUAGCUAGGGUUUGAGUUUUACCUGUAGUUUUCUCCUCUAUUUCCACCUGGCCUUCCCAUGACAAAAAAAAUAACUCACCUUUUCUCAUAGCACAUAAGAACAACCCUCAUAACCGGAGCGAACCUCCACAGUCCAUAAACCAAUAAACAGAGCGCCAUCCAAGCAUAAAUACUCAAAUUAAUGAUAUUACCACAAUCCUCGUACUUGGUUUAAAUCUUUAAUCAAUCAAGUGACUCCAUGUCACACUUAUACAAUCUUCUUGUGGGACACGCUCCCAAAACCAUCCGAAAUGAAUAACGGGUCCGCAUAUCCAAACCACACGUCACACUAAUGCUGAAAAGCGAUCAAGAAUCCUUAACCAGGAUGCAAAGCCUUUUUUCACAAAAUAACAAUCUCUUGUGAUACUGACGAAAAUACAACCUCACUUUAAACAUCGAAACUCCUUUCAUGCUAAUUCGAGCUUGUAACAUCCUUGUCAGCACCGAACUGCAACCUUGAUCCUCACUUCAAAUUCCAUACCCCUCACUGCACCCAACGUGCCAAUAUACGAUAGAACUCAUUCUUCAUCAUAGCUUCGGACGCCUGGUAGAUUAACACUUCAUCAUGUAAAACUUUCCACUUAACUCGCUUCAGGAGGACAUAGCAACACACAGGUGAAUUCUCAUGACCCUAGAAUAUGCAAAUCUCUAAGUAGUGGUAUAAACCACCAUAGCCCUUCCGGGAUCCACCUCUAUAUAAUAGGCCACAAUGGUAUAAUAAUUUAUGAAUAACACUAACUACAGCGGACGACAAGCGUCGCACGCGCCGUCAAAAUUCACUUGCAUAACUUGUUCACGCUGAAAGAACUUAUCAUUACCGGCAACAUGCCAAUUCGACUAUGGCUAACCAAUCACGCUUCUUCCAAUUUGUCAUUGAUUUCCAUAGAAACAAUGAUAACCCCAUUCAACAAUAAACACACUCCAUCCGCACUCUUCCCGAGUGACUUGAAUUACGAGACCAUGCUGCCUCAAAUCCCACGAACCAUUUCGUACCUCCUAAUUGCUACAUCGCAAGUCAAAACAUCAUAAAACAUUCUAUGCCUCUUCUCAUGGGAUGCUAUCAAGCUUUAUUCUUAACCAUACCCAUAGGUUUGAAAUCGUUAGGCAUCACACUUUAUCCUUUGAAUUCACUAGGACCGUUGUUGGGAGCCACCCGCUCUGACUUGGCCCCGGAUAUAAUCAAUUCCAUAAAUCUUCUAGCACAUGAAUACCCCAUUGGUGAAGCACCUAGUAGAAUCUUUCCCUUGGAAUCCACAUCUUUAUAAAGCACAAUCCUGAAUCCUUCCCCAAGUCUGAACAUGGGCCAAUAAGGCCAACGAUACACCACCUUUAAUAAUUCCUUUGCUCAAUUUACCACCUAUGUUCUUUUCGCGUAGCUGAGAUAACCCAUCAAUAUUCUAAUAGUCAGAAAUCCCGCGAGUAAUUAACCAUGCAACCCCAUCAUAGGCGGUGGGACUCUCCCACUUAGCUCGAAGCCACUACUACACAACUCUGGAAUUUACAAGGAUUUUUAAUCUUAUAUUGACAGAACCUUGUUCAAUCAACCACCAAAAUUCUCGAUAUCUUACUGUGGAAACCCCCUUUUUAUACUCUAAAUCAUCAACAACAUUCGCAUGACCGAUCCAUUUGCUGUAUAACCAUUAGAAUUCUUCGCAGAAGCCUCACCAAGUAUGUGAUGGCUAACCUGCUCACAGGGAAUAAACCCACCUAUGGAAAUCACUUUCCGACAUCUUCAAACGUUGUUGCACAAGGUCUAAUCACCAUGAUAUCAAUAACCCAUCCUGAGUCCGAGCUAAUCCCUCUAGCUGCAUAAGUCCUUUCAGCCCUCGUGGGCAGCAAUUAAAUGUAUGGCAGCAUGCUUACCAUUCAAAGUUACGUUGUAUCCUUCUUCAUUUCAAUCAUCUCCUUUCCGUUAUACCAAGUCUCCUACCGCAUAAUAGCCUAUUCUUCAGAUUGAAUCUGUAUACCCCAAUCACCAAUCACUAAUAUUCUCAAAUCCCUCUGAAAUAUCCUUAAGGCGCUCAUCCUACCACCAAGACCCUAUGCAGCUCCGCUACUCUCCUACUUUGGGAAAACUAAUUUCUUUAAUCAACUACUCGACUUGCGCUUCUUAUACCUAGUCUUCUAGAAGUUUUAACCACCGCAUGACACUUCCCAGAUGUCCUUCUUCAUACUUUGCUGCUCUUGCAACCUUAAAUAAAUCCAUCUUAGUAGCACUUGAACCCAUGAAACGCUACUAACCUUAAACAUUUCCGAAGAUCAUGUUUCUCGAGCCGACAACACUAGGAACACCGAUUCAAUCCUGCAUCACCGCACCCCGCGAUAUCUAACAGUCAUUUCUUUAAUAUUGACCCGCAAUAUCCUACUCUAGAGGCGAAUUGUAGAAGAUAGUAACACUGGUGAACUUAGUACCUUCAAUAAGGACAACAACGCCUCAUCAUAGAAGAAAACUCCACCACACUUGAAAAUACCAAGUCUCGUUCCCCCCAUCAACCCAAACCUAAACAUUCUCAGCCUGACUGCCUUUCCCCUACCGGGAAUAGAAUACCAAAUCUCUAGAUCAUGCACUGACUAAACCUACCUUCAAGUCAUUCACUACCCCGACACGUAGGCGAAUAUCCUACCAUUAUAAUAAUACUGCGGAAAAGUUCUUCAUAAGCAUCAUGGAAACUUGUGCCUAACCUCAAAGCUCUCAGAAGUACAACUACUGAGCCAAAAUAACAGAAUAUCCCUCCACAAGGCAAUGAUAAUAGCUCAAUAACCCCGCAGGGAGAACCACCCGCACCAUAUUCGUAGUGCCAUUACAAUUCUUCAAUUCUCGAUUUAUGCGCUUCGUGUAUCAUAAGAUUGAGAAGGAAGGAAACAAAGGCAUAAGCCUCACGAGAAGUCAAGUCUUACGAUAAGGAAUAAAGAAGGGAAGUACUCCUAAUAGUCGUGCACCCCCCUGAGAAUAAGAACAGACGUCUCCAUGCCGAUCCGCGAGACUCUACUAGACAUGCUCAUGACUUGUGAGACCCUAGGAACCUAGUGCUCUAAUACCAUGUUGUAACGAUACAAAAACCUCUAAGGUUCGUGGUGGCGCCGGACACGCUGUCAGGAAAGCCAACUGAAAUACUUAAUUAAAUUCUAAUUUUAAUAUUUGCUGAAGUCAGGUCGUGGUGGCACCAUAUACCGCUGUCUAGCAAGCCAACCAAAAUACUUAAUUAAGUUCCAAUUUUAAUAUUUGUUGAAGUGAUUUUUCCUUUAUACAUUAAAUAGCAAAUAAUUAACUAUACAUAAAUAACCAUGGAGUCUUUAACAAACUUAAUAUUGAACAAUCCUAUAACCAUCCCAGAACCGGGUGUGACAAGUGCGUGAGCGUACACUAAGAAGGAAAUAAAAAUAUAACAUCCAUCCAAAAUACAGUUGACAGAAAGUAAAUACAAUAUAUUGGAAGGGACUAUACUAGCUACGGACCGCCUCGAACAAUGCAACUCACCUAGUCUCCGAAUCAUCUGUGCUGCUACGCCCAAUAGGCCUCUAGUAACACAUGAACAUGUGCAACAAAAAUGCACAGAAGUGUAGUAUGAGUACGAAAACAACGUGCACCCAAUGAGUAUCCCGUCUAAUUUCGAAGAAGUAGAGACGAGAGGUCAACUUCGACACUUACUAAGGGUCCAGUAAUGUGAUGAUAAUAAUACAUUAAAUCGUGAAUUUCUAUAAACAUGAUUUUUAAUCCAAUAGAAGGAAACAAGUAAACAAUUAUUUUUUAUAGGAUUUCCAUAAUUCCUUUUUCAUUAUUUAUCCAAAUAAUCUCAAGCCAUGAAGAGACAAUAACAACUUUAAUAAGUCCAAGGCAGCAAUACAAGCAUGUGCAAAUCAUGCCGAGGUCUACGGCCCGCUCCAAUAGAAAAUAAAUUGUGCACUGCCGAGGGUUGAAUGGCACCAAUCAUAGAUACAUCUAUUUAAUCUGCCUAGGCUUUCGGCCCGCUCCAACAGGAAAUAAACACACAGGGAAUCAAUCAAGAAGUCAACAUGGAAAAUUUUUCCGAAGGAAAAUAAUUCUCAUUAAUAAUUUAAGAAAGUGAAGUUUAAAUCCUAUUAGAAAUUUGUUUACUAAUUUAAUGAGAUUUAAGCAAGUCAAGUUGUCAAUAAGUUUACAGUUAAUCCAAGUAUCGCAUGCUUUUGGGUCCUAACUACUCGGACAAUGGCAUAAUAGUAGCUACGCACGGACUCUUAUCACCUCGUGCAUACAUAGCCCCCACAAUUAGGAGCGCAUAACAGAUUAUUUCACCUAUGGGGACAAUUCCCUCUUACAAGGUUAGAGACUCACCUCGCUCCGAAGUUUCAUAACCGGCAUUUCACGACCUUUUGAAGACUCAAAUCGAAGCAAAAAUGCUCCAAAACUAGCCAAUAAUUAUAUAAACCCAUUAAUAUAUGCUAAGGUACUCAUUAUAAUCCAAUUUACAACAAUUCCCAACCCCGAUCGAAGAGUUGACGAAAACUCCCUAGGGCCCACGUGCCCGGACUUCCAAACUUUUCGAAGAAUAAGUUUACCCAUAACCUCAUGAACUCAAAUAUAUGAUUUACGCUUAAUUUCAUACCCAAAAUUGUGGUCAAAUUCCAAGAACAUCAAUAUUCUACCAUUAUAAUAAUACAAUUAUAUAAACCAAUUAAUAUAGGCUAAGGCACUCAUUAUAAUCCAAUUUAUAACAAUUCCCAACCCCGAUCGAAGAGUUGACGAAAACUCCCUAGGGCCCACGUGCCCGGACUUCCAAACUUUUCGAAGAAUAAGUUUACCCAUAACCUCAUGAACUCAAAUAUAUGAUUUACGCUUAAUUUCAUACCCAAAAUUGUGGUCAAAUUCCAAGAACAUCAAUAUUCUAGGUUUUCAUCUAAACCCCUUGAGUUUCCUUAAACUUUUACAUGUUAAUCUACCCAUAAUCUAUGUAUUUAACGUAAGAUGCGUAGAAAUUACUUACCUCUUUGAUGAUGGAGGAAUCUCUCUUCAAAUUCUCUCAAAAAUCGCCUAAGGCCAAGUGGAAAAUGAGGGAAAUGGGCAUAGUUUCGAAUUUAAUAACUAGACACAACUCUCAGAUAUCGCAUUUGUGACACCUGGUUCGCAAAUGCGAUAAAGACAUCAAAAAUGCGAACGUGGGCCUCCCCUUCCAAGCUCGCAAAUGUCAACCCUGCCUUAGGCCAGGCUCCUUCGCAUGUGCAAAUCCUCACUCGUAAAUGCGAGAUUGCGAACCGUUUCUCGCAUUUGUGAGGCCUGCAACUGCUGCCAAAAAAUACCAUAAAACAUGGGGUGCUCUAACUCCUCCCGCACAUCAGAAACUCAGCCGAGGCCCCCAAGACCCCGUCCAAUCACACCAACCCACUUCAUAACAUAACACGAACCUGCUCGAGGCCUCAAAUCAUACCUAACAACGCUAAAAUCAUGAAUCAACCUCCAAUUCAAGCUUUAUGAAUUUUAGAACUUCAAACUUCUACUUUCGAUGCCGAAACCUAACAAAUCAUGUCCGAUUGGCUUCAAAUAUUGCACACAAGUCAUACUUGACAUUAUGGACCUACUCUAACUUACGGAAUCGAAUUCCAACCCGUAUAUCAAAAAGUCCACUUCUGGUCAUACUUCUCAGAAACCAUCAAAUUUCUAUCUUUAGCCAAAUGGCUCCAAAAUGACCUACGGACCUCCGAAUUUAUUUCCGACUGCGCUCCUAACUCCAGAAUCACAACAUGGUGCUGCUCCCAGACCCGGAAUCCCAAAUGGACAUCGAUAUCACUGAAAUGCACUUCACCCAAACUUAUAAAAUUUCUUUCAAAAUGCUACUUUCUACAAUAGGCGCCAAAACGCUCCCAGGUCGUCCAAAACUCGAUCUAGGCAUAUGCCCAAGUUCAAAAUCAUCAUAUGAACAUGCUGGAACCUUCAGAUCCUGAUGUCGAGGUCAUUUACAAAAAAUUCCAAUCCUAGCUAAUUCUUUCAACUUUAUGCUUGCGAAAUGAGAAUUCUUUUUUCAAAUCAACUCUGAACUUCCUGAAGCUUAAUUCCGAACACGCGUAGAAGUCAUAAUACCUUCAAUAAAGUUGUUCAUGGCCUUAGACUACUGAACGAUGUGCUACAGUUCAAUACGACUUAUCGAGUCGUUACAACUUUUGGGGUUUAUUUAAUCCAAAAUUGCCCCACAUAUGCCACCUAAUUAUCAGGACCAAAGAGUUUGAAUUACUUCAAGGUCUUGUUGCCAUGUUGGGAGAUUUAAUUCUUAUUCAAAUAUUUGAAUAAAUUAUACAUUAAUCACUUGAUUAACUUGUUAAUCUCUCAUUAACCAAUAAUUUACUAACGUUCCACAUAAAUUAAGAAUUAUCUCAAAUUAUUUAAAAUACUACCAACCUUUACCAUACCUUAUACACCUUACUAUCAUGGUCAUGUGGUACUUUGUAUGGCACUAGUCCAAAAAUACGCAAUAUUAUAGUCUGAAAUCUAGGAUGGGAGCCUUUCGUGCCGAGACUAAUGAGAUGUGCUCAUCACCAGGCGUGAUAAAGCUACACUCUCCGAGCUCAAAGACCUCGAGAAUUAUGGCAAAUGGUUAUGCACCACUAACAGAGGGCUUUGAUAGCCGUACCUAACUGGAUAUCAUAGCGCAGAUCUCACCUGAUAUCGGUUAUGUGUAAGUAAUUAAUGAUAAAGGAGGAUUUUACCUUUUUUAGACGUGUACUAGGAAUGAAACUCUCCUACUAUAUAAAAGGGAAGUUUUACUUUGAUAGCAGACAUUGUAACAUGAAAACUAAGGCAUUGCAAAUUUAUUUUUCUGCUUUCUAGCUAUUGCAAAAUUCUUACUUUACUGUUUGCUCUUCAUUCACAAUUGGCUUCGAUCAAGUGUCCGAUCAAGGACAAAACUACUGUUCAACCUAAGUUCGAGUUGGGACAUAAUAUUACAAUUGGUUUCAUUAUUUAUUUUGUCUUUAACGUGUUUAUCUAAUAUUUUUAAUUAUUAGUGUUGAAUCAAUCCACAUAUCCUUAAAACUGCGUACAAAUUUAAUUAUUAUUUGUUUUUAGGGUAAACAAACUCAUAUACCAACGAGAAAUCCAUUUGGAAUUUCUGCAUUGCAGUUGCUGCAAGAAUUAUUCCUUCUGAAAUUAAGAAAGCUAUGAAAAACGUUCUCAACGGAGUUGCCGUGUGCACUAUUCAUGCUAAAAUUAGGUGUUCUGAUGCACAAUCGGACUCCAUUAGGAUUGAAUUUAAACAUACUUUUAUGAUUCAAAGCUUAUGGAAUUAUCUUAGCUAGGGACGUCUGAAAUAUUUGUCCCCCGGGGCUUAAUUUUUGGUAAAACUAAAUGGCCAAUUUUGAGAGGUCAAACAUGUCUCUAAUUAAUUAAUGUAGAAACCUUCGAAAAAACUGGCUUUAUUAAUGUCAUAUUCGACUUGUAUCCAUUACUAAGAAUUUAAGAAACAGUGAAGGACCAGUGAGUUCAUUGAAUAUGGUUCUAUAUUUUAAGUUCUAUGAGGUUGUUAUUUUGCUUAACUUUAUUAGAAUUAAGUUAUAUAGUGAGUGUUUAAUCAAAAAAUGGAUUCUCGAUCAAAGUCAAUAUUAAAAGAAAAUCAGGUUGCUGAUAAUUAAAAUUUACUUUACUUUUCCGAUAAUAUGUAGAAUAAAUCAAGGAUUAAAAAUAAUUUACUUCACUUUACUAGUGAGAUUUCAGUCUUUAUAUAUGAGUAUACAAUUAUAACGGUUUUCCUAUCUAAUUCGGACUCACAAAUGGUAUUAAUUGCCUUGAUUACUUUUACUAUUUACGACUAUAACGAAAAUAUUUAUAACUAAAUAUUUCUUGCAACCAUACCGAUAUCCCGUCCUUAUUUAUGACAUGUUCGGCAGUUUCCCUUCUUUAAAGCCUUUAUUCAUUUCAUUCUUGUUUUUCUUUUUAUAGCUAUCAGGUCUGGCUUUUUCCUCAAUGUAAUCCCAUGAGUAUUUCUCUCGUGCCUUUUCUGCACUCUUCAACUCAUAUAAUUAGGAAUUCCACUUUUCACCAUAUGGAUGGUCUGCAUACCAUGCCAUAUCACUGUGUUGAUAGUCCGCGUAUGUAAGGCCCCGAAAAAUUUCGCUAAGUAAUUUAGGAUUUUGUAGUGUCACGCAGGCUUGUUAUAAUGCUUUUAUAUACUAUUAACAUGGUGGACAUAAAUUAUUUAGCAAAAGUUUCUGGGGCCUUAUAGUNNNNNNNNNNNNNNNNNNNNNNNNNNNNNNNNNNNNNNNNNNNNNNNNNNNNNNNNNNNNNNNNNNNNNNNNNNNNNNNNNNNNNNNNNNNNNNNNNNNNNNNNNNNNNNNNNNNNNNNNNNNNNNNNNCCAAAUGGGAAAAUUUUUGAAAUAGGCCAAAAUUCCAAAUGGAUUCGCACAAGGCUCCACUUUAAACUAGAAUAUAUAAUUAUGUAUAAGGUUUAUGUGGUGAAUAGCAUAUCAAGUGAAAGCCCCUUGAGUCUAAUUUCCAACGCUUCCGACCGUUUGUCAUUUGGACAUUCCUACACAAAGUUAUUGUCAAAUUACCAAAGGUUGGAAAUUGAUAUCCUGAGUCAAUUAUGCGAUCGUAUUUUGGAUCGCAGAAUGCACUCUGCGGUUGCAUUUGGCCGCAUUUUGAACCUGAGAAGCCCAGUUUUGGGCAUCGAUUCUACGACGCAUUCUGCGGACCGCAUGUCGAUUCUGCGGUCCAUUCUGCUAUAGCAGAAUCGACAUCGUGGGAUAUUUUUGUUAUUUGCUAAACCCGACCCCCUAUUGUUAUAUUUGACCCUAUAACUCAUUUUAAGCAUUUUUCUGAGUAUUUUUAGAGUGAGAGAGAGGGGUAUUAGAGAGGGAAAUUUUCUCCCAUCAAAUUUCUCCACAAUAUCAUGUUAAUUCCUUGAAGAUAAUCAAGUGAAAGCCCUGGUUCUUCAUCUAAGAGGUAAGAUUCUAUGCCCUAGGUUCUAAUUUCGAGUUUAGAGUAUAUGAUGGGUUCUUGAGGUGUGAUUCUUGGGUAUUUUAGUAUUGUGUAUGCAUGCAUGUACAACUUAGGUUUAUGGGAAGAUUGUUCAACAUAGAUUAGUAAAGAUUGGGUUAAGGAAUGAAGGAAAUCUUAAAAAGAGCAUUUGAAGUCAAGAUGCUCAACUAGCGUUCGAUAAAAUGCUCAAACGAGCUAGUUUCAUGAAUAUCUUCUAAGAUGUGUUUAAUUUUGUUAUGUCUCAUAGAAGAUUGGAAUUGCUAGAGUUUUUGAAGUGUUGUAGUAACUUAAGGAAAGCUCAAUCGAGGUAUGUAUUGCUAACUGUGAUCCUUGUGAAAUUUCCAUAUGCUAGUUGUGAAAUUGUUGACAGUUGAUAUUCAUGUGAGAAUCAUCGUGAAGCUUAUGUGUUGUAUGAUUGUGUGGUAACAUUUUGUGAUAAAUGUUGUGGAACUCGUAAUUGGAAUAACGGAAAUGGAAAUAUUGUAGAAUAGUGAUAAUGGAAACAAUGUGGAACAAUGGAAAUGGAAAUAAUGUGGAACAAUGGUAAUGGAAACAAUGUGGAACAAUCGAAAUGGGAAUAAUGUGGAAAAAUAAUGUGGAAUAGUGGUAAUGGAAACAAUGUGGAACAAUUGAAAUGGAAAUAAUGUGGAACAAUGGUAAUGGAAACAAUGUGGAACAAGGAAAAUGGGAAUAAUGUGGAACAAUGGAAAUGGAAAAAUUGUGGAACAAUGUGUGUGAUUAGUUUGAAUAACUGUUGUGAUGGUCUAAAUUGUGUAUCAAUUUUGAUAAACAUAAGGAAAUUGUUGUUGCUAGUUGUGGGAUUUCAAUACCCUUGUUGUGGAAUUAUUCUAACAAUGUGCCAUGGUUGAUUCCUUGUACUUGUUGUUGUGCUGUUUGUUGUCGUGAAUUGAAAACUAUCAGGCGGGGUCGGGUUGCACGCCGCAACAUGGUGAAAUAAGGUGUGGGUUGGGGUGAUAAGGGUAGCCGAGGUAAUAAGGGUGGACGAGGCAAUAAGGGUGGAAAAUGUGAUCCAAUAUCACUAUUGAUAUGAAUAUGAAUCAUGAAAUGAUAAAUAAGGAAUUGUGAAAGAAGACAGCAGGAGAGUUUGUAACCUGAGGGGCACAGAUUGCCCCUUUGUUUGACUACUUUAAUCAUUUGUUGUGGAAUGUUUGGUUGUUGUUUCCUGGUUGUACUUGUACUAUUGUUCUCCAGUUCUAUACUUGUUUAUGAAAUUUGGCUUGAGUUUACUUGGGACAGAGUUUGUUCAUAAAUACCAGUACAAUUUAAAUGUACUAAUGUCCCUUUUGUCGGGGGCGCUACAUUCGUGUUAUGAUUGUAGGUGGAUCCAUAGCAGGCACUCCAGUUAACCGACCGUAGCUCCUCAUCACUUUCCGUCAGCUAAUUCGGCGAGCCCCUUUUCAUUCGGGGCCCUAUGUGGCUCAUGCCACUUUUUGUUUUCUGAUCUUGUUUUGAUGUUGUAUAAGUAUAGCCGGAGCCUUGUUGCCGGAAUUUCCAUAAUAUUCUUCAAUUGUAUUUAGAGGCUUCGUAGACAGGUUGUGGGUAGUGUCGGGUAUGGUAAUUUAAAAGAUAAAUAUUGAUGUGUGGCAAUGUUUUAUAAAAAUUGGAAUACCUUUAUUAUGGUGAAUGAGGUUUCUAAUGGAAAUUGUUAUUAUUAUGUUUAUAAAAUUUGGUUAAUGGAGUCUAUAUCCUAUAAAUGGCUAUAUCACCUGGUUAUUAAGUAAUGAGAAUGAGGGGUAACACGUGGGAUAGGAAAGGCACCCAGGUCCGCUUGACUGGGGAUGCCCGGUCAUGUCCCUCGAAUUUGGGGCGUGACAAACCUGGUUCCUAACAUUUUAAAGUGUCCUAGGAUGUCUCGGAGCCAUAUCUAGUAGAGUCCUUCUUAUUGGUGUGUUGUCGACCACAUCUAUAAGUUGGAGGCUAUUUGGACAUUUAAGAAUUUUUCCCUUCUUUGAUAAUCUAGAUCGUGCGAUAUAGCUCAAGAUAAGGAUUAUUCUCAAGAUUGGUAAUUUUGAUACCAUAAUCCGCGAAUUUAAAGCUUGUAUGGAGGGAUUGGUCCUACCAUUGAGUCCAAGUGGAUUACCCAAGGACUUGUUAGAGGAAUAUGUUGAGCCGUGGAGAGAUUGGUAGAACUUGUUAUUAAGAGGAGUACCCUUGUUCCUACUAAUGUCACGGCACCACCAGAUCAUGUAGUAUAUUAUCGGUAUGUACGGUUAAAAUCCCGUCUUUUAGGAAUUAAGCUUCCAUGGUGCCCGCGUAAAUGUUGUAAGUUCAAAAUAUAAUUGAUACAAUACUCGUUUUAUUAUGUUAAGCGAAUUAUUAUUGUGAAAAUAUAUGUGGGAGGUACUUCUUCAUGUGUUUAGUAUAUUAUUCUUGGUAAAUGAGGAUAUGUAAAGAAUGUCAACUAUGUGCGAAAUGCCUAUGCUUCAAGUUAAGUUUAAAUUGACAUUUUGAUGCAAAAUUUUUGUGAGAAAACUUGUUAUGGUUGAUUCCUCCAUAAUGUUCUUAUGUUUACCAAAUGUAUUUGAUUGAUUGUGCCUAGUUGUUGGUAAUGUACAAAGAUGUUUGGAAGUGAAGUAAGUGAUGGUGUAAAUGUGGCAAGGCUGAAUGUUGGAUUCUUGUUGGGAUGAUAUUUUACAUGAUGGUGUUGUGAUCCUAUAAUUGUAAAAGAUGCAUUCCAAUAUGACCAAUAUGCUAUAGUUGACAACUUAAAAUGGGUGCAAGGAAUACGAAUCAUGUAUUGAAAUGUGAAGGCCUUAAAUUGAAAUUAGAGCAGCAUAUAUUAAAUAAAACUAUGUGAAAUCCUUUGUGUAUAGAAAUGUUGAAAUAAGUCAAAUGAUUUUGAGAAAUAGAGUAUGGACAAUGUGUCGAGAACUCGAAAUGAAAUUAUACCCGGUGAUACUUGUGACAUGAGGGAAUAUGGAACAGAUUACGAUGUUGGUGUGAAAUAUGUAGAAAUAAUGUGAAAUGCGGGAAAGAAGAGGAUGUGUUAUGAAAUGUGGCCUAGUGCUUGUGAUAAAUGUGGCCCCAAGAGCAGAUGGACUAAUAUACGUAAAAAUGGUAUGAUUCUUUUACUUAAUAAUGUGUUGAUCAUUUAAAGUGUUUGAUUCGUACUUGUGAUUUCGUUAUUAUUGUAUGAAGCGCAUAGGUGUAUAACUGAUAUGUGAACAGGGCUAUGAAAUGCAGCCUAGAGGUAUGGAAAUUAUGUGAAAACUAUGUGAUCCAUUCUAUUUGGUAAUGUGGUGAUUGUUUAAACCUUUUUGUUAGACCAUUAUAACUUCCUUGUCCUUGCAUAUUUGUUCGUAAAAAGAAUCUAAAUUACAAAACAUUUCAUGUACCAUCAUAUAGUUUGUACAUGUGGUUUCGAGUUCCAUGCGAAGUAUUCAAGAUCUGUGAUCCUUCUCGAGUCACUCUUUUACUCAGUUGUGUAUAUGGCUUAUAUGGCUUAAACAACAAUUCCACUCUCUUGCAAGUAACAUCAUGAAAACCUUCUUACCAUCAAGUAACAUGAGAGCAUGCGUCAACACAUAUCCUACAAGUACCUAUGAAUUGAAAUAGUCACUAUGUUCAUACAGCUUUUCAGGAAAUUGAGAUCCUCACAUCCCAUUAUAGGAAGGUCUUGUGUCGCCAUAAUUUUCGUGUCCACUUGAGAUAUCCCGUAGUAAGUAGUUCACUUGGUUUCUAGUAUUAUAGUUGUCCGUAAUAUGGAAUUGUAUUGCAGUUUGGAAGUUAGUAUAGCAUAAGCAUUCCAACUCAUAACGACUGAUUAUCUUUUCUUUAUGUCUCCACAAUGCGUUUCUUGUAUUCCUUAUUUAGUGAAUUUCGUUGUGCUAGUACCCAAAACUUAUACGAUAACCAUGAGAGAAAAUUCCCCUCUAUGUGUCACUAUGACACCUCCUUUUUCUUUCUUCAAGUCAAAACCUAUGGAAAUCCCAUCAUGAACAUCUGCAAACCUUCAGUGGUUAUUGUGCACUGUCUCAUUGAGUUUGGUUUUAUUUACACCCUCAACUUCCGAAAUCCUUGACUAUGUCAUUGUCAUGUGCGGGGAGUAAUACUACCCUUGGCAUCUCGCCUUAUUGGCUGUAUAGGAGUAUUGUAUUCCUUAUCUCCGGAGCAUCAUGUUAACUAUUAGAAUGCGAGGAGUUAUACUACCUUUGGCAUCUCGCCUUUUUGGCUGUCUAGGAGUAUUGUAUUCCUUAUCUCCGGAGCAUCGUGUUAACUAUUAGAAUCAUCUAACCAAUUCAUGAUUUUGUCCCAGUAUCAAAAUUUUCUAGCUAUGGAGUUUCACUCGUGAAAGGUUGAGAUUAGAUGACUUCGGAUUUUUUCACAUAUCAUGAAAAUGUUGAUUUGAAUGACAAAUGGUCGUACUUUUAGUUUCCUCAUAUAUGACCAAUUACCAAGAAGUGUUAAGCUGUCUAAAAUAUGGUAAUCUCAUAAGCGUUCAAUUCUUUUCNNNNNNNNNNNNNNNNNNNNNNNNNNNNNNNNNNNNNNNNNNNNNNNNNNNNNNNNNNNNNNNNNNNNNNNNNNNNNNNNNNNNNNNNNNNNNNNNNNNNNNNNNNNNNNNNNNNNNNNNNNNNNNNNNNNNNNNNNNNNNNNNNNNNNNNNNNNNNNNNNNNNNNNNNNNNNNNNNNNNNNNNNNNNNNNNNNNNNNNNNNNNNNNNNNNNNNNNNNNNNNNNNNNNNNNNNNNNNNNNNNNNNNNNNNNNNNNNNNNNNNNNNNNNNNNNNNNNNNNNNNNNNCCAUGUCAGUAUUGUUAGUAGUAACCUCUUGUGUCUGUUAGUAUAUGACCUCAUAAAGUACUCUACUCAGCGCAUUAAUGGAUUCUUGAAUAACUCCAGCUUGAACUUGAACUCUGUUGUUUCUUAUUGUAUUAGAUCCAUUGGGUAUGGUAAGUUCAAACAAGUCAAAGAUAAAGCUUCAUAUUGUGAUUAUAUAUACAUAUAUAUUGGAUAGGUAAUUUUAUGGUCAGUUUACAAUAUCAAAUCUUAGAGUAACUAUUAAAUGUCAUCAAAGGUUUAGUGUGAGUAUCCCCCUGAAAAUGUUAUGUGUUGAUAAUAAAGGUAACAUAAAUGUAUUACACAUUAGAUUGCAAUAGGAGUAUGAUAUCCCCGUAAUUGUUUCUCAUGUACUUUGUGUUUCCAUAUGUUUAGGAAUUAAUUACAUUGAGUUAAUUGUGUUUAAAAAACAAACAAACAAAAAAAGAGAAAAGAAUCAUAAAAAAUGGUUAAUUUUGCACUUUUAAUUUUAGUCUUUGAAUUUCGAUAGUUCUUUGUUUAAUUUGAUAUUAAGUAGUUGCAAUAAGUAUUAGUUGUAGUAACUAGUUUAAUUUGAAAAUAAUUUGAUUAAGAAUUAAUUUAGGUGUUAUUUUAAUUUAAAUUUAAAAGAAAUUAGAAAAAUAUGAAAACAAAAUAGGUGAAUCAUAUUUUUGGGCUGAUAUUAACUUCUAUUUUUAAGCCUAAUGGAAUUUCUAAACUAACCUAAAUCAACCUCCACCCAACCCCAAACCGGAUUGACCCGAUCCAACCCAAUACCCAAACUCUAUCUUCCCACCUAAAAACCUAAUACACGUACAAUACACAAGAUAGAGGCCUGGAAAUUUCUCACCGCAUCUCUUAUCAUCAUCUUCAACACAAAUGGAAAACAACAAACAAAAACUCCAAAAUAGGAACUGAAGAAUGACCUUCCACACGGAUACAAAGCAGCCAUCACUCAUCUCCCCCCGCCGUAAAACACUUAACACACAGCCACACAUACGCGAGAGAACGGGAAGCUGCAUCUGCUUCAUGAAGUCAGCCGAAAUCACACAUGAGACCUUUCUUUUUAUGUAACAAAAUGACAGAUGCUAAGACUUAAGGCACACAACCAUUUCUGAUUUGAGAACACAACACCCCUCCUCGUCUCUGUUUCCUCUUCUUCACUUCACAACCAAGAAAGUUCUUUCAAUACAACGAACCAACCAAACUUUAACUCCAAAUCGCUAUCCCAUGUCAUGGAGUUUGCCGAUUUUGUUUUUCGGGUUUAGUUUGAGUUCUCCGCCGAGUUUCGAGGUGUCGAGGGUCGUUUGAGGUUGUUGCUGGUUUUCGGUUAAGGUUCGGAUUCCAAUCGUGUAAUAAAGUCAAGCUUUUUGAAAUACAGAGCUCCAACUUUGAUGGUGCAUUUUCUAUUUGCCUUCUCUUAUCCUGUUUGGAAAGGUCAGGUAUUCCUCUGUCUCUUCAUUUUACUUCACUGUUAAGGUGUUCUUUAGCGUGAGUAAUUGGAAAAUUGAAAGUUUUAAAUUUCAGUUUAUUCUCCGGGAUGAAUCGAUUCAUCUCUGGCUUCUUAUACAUUUUGCAAAGCAUGUUUGCUGAUAUUAAUCCUGUUCUAAUGGAUCUUAUAAUCCUCUUUGACUUGUCUACGACAAGUACUUGCAAUGUAUGCAAAACAAAAUGACAUAUGGGAAUUGAGAGGCAUGGGAAUUGAGAGGCAUAGAUUCUGCUGUAUAUUUUAAUGUCAGCCAUGUUCUAUAUUUGACGUGAAGAAUCCAUUAGCUUAACUGACAAGAUUUCUGAUAACAAAUGCCAAACUGUUUUGUUUUUGUUAUAAUUGAAAAGGCUUUCUACGAUGUCAUGUGCUCUUUGACUUUGGGUGAAGUUUAUAACUAGUUUUUGUAGUCAUAAUACUUCUUUUAGCAGAAUAUUUGCAUAUUAUUUAAUAAAAAUGACAAACCAUAGCUUUGCCUUACGAUGAUUUUACUUUAUUCAGGGUUGGACUUGCAGUAAUUGUUCACUUACAACAAGUUUGACAUGAUUCUUCUUUAGUUGUAGUAAUGGCUCUUCAUACUUUGCUUCAUGCAUAUAAUUAGUUUAUCACGAUUACGAGUACGAUUUUCGUGACAUAGCUGUUGUGCUAAAUUUUAAAUUAGCUUUAAGUAUGAGUAUCCAUAGCUAUUAAAAUUAGUUGAAUAGAUUUAGGGCGUGUCGUACUAAGUAAGAUAUAGUUAUGGCCCUCCGGAGUUUAGCUCGAAUUCCUUUUAAAAUUGGAAUUGAGGCAUGCUGUGCCAAAUAAAAUCUCAAAUGCAACGCCGUCGUUUAAAUUAUUCUUGUUUAUCCUUAGAUUCUGAGGCGUGCCAUUUAGCGAAUUUCAUGGCCCUCGCAAAGUGGGAACGUGUAGUUGCUUUAGGCACGUGUUUAAUAACAUUAAUUUCCUAAAUUCGGGUGCACAUUUAUGUGACCCAAAUCCGAAUCCCAACAAAGUUGAAAUGUGUCAAAAAUCACGGGUGCAUUUAUGUGACGUGGUUGGAGGCAUGUUUUAACGAUGUUGCAAUUUUCUUUAAUAAUAAAAGUUGUUAAAAGAUUAAAAAAAUGCACAUAGGUUCAUAAUUGUAUAAAAAUCAGAUAAUUUAAGCCAAAUAUAACAGUUGAGCGACCGUGCUAGAACCACAGAACUUGAGAGUGCCUAACACCUUCUUUCGGGUUAACAAAAUUCCUUACCCGGAUUUCUGCUUCGCAGACUGUUAAACAGAGUCAUUCUUUCCUCGAUUCGGGAUUCUAAACGGUGACUUGGGACAUUAUAAAUCUCCCAAGUGGCGACUCUGAAAUUCUCUUAAAUAAUUUAAUCCCGUUUCGAUUGUCCUUUAAUUGGAAAAACUCCCUUAUCUACGCCCUACGCCGGAUCGUAGUAACAAAAAGGAGGUGUGACAAGCACAGUAUGAACUAUGGCUAGCUAAUGCAAAAUGAUAAACCUAACGAGCCAUCUGAGUGGGCCUAUAAGGACGGCCCCUGCUGUGGUAGGAUUUCCACCCAAAAGGAAGACCGCCGAAACCACCCGAAUCAUGAGGCCUUUUAUCCUCUCUCUCUCCCCAUGCUCCUGACUAUGGACCAACUCUAGCCAUCAAGUGAUGUCAACCACCUCGUCAAACCUAGCACCUGAUGUAUUCUCCCGAGUCAUAAAAAAAUGCAACUGAUAGCUAAGGCCAUCAAUUAACCUCCUAAUCCUCUCCCUCUCUAUGAGAGCCAACCAGAUCGCAUGACGAGCCAAUUCUGAAAAUCUCAUCUCGUAUUGGGUCACCUACAUUCCUUCAUAGCAUAGCUUCUCAAACUGUAUAUGCAACUCUUCCCUACGGGUUGGUGGCACAAAUUUCUCCAAGAAAAAUGGCACAGUAUCGGCUGGUCCUGCUCUGCUCAUAGGCCCUCCAACAUUUAAAUCCCGUCAGCUGAAAAGUAGUAAAUGAGGGCCCAAUAGUUUACAAAAUACCUUUAUGCGAAGAUUCCGCAGGCACCUAUCCAAGAAUUCCCGAGCAUCCUUAAACUCAGGCCCACUAAAUCUUGGAGGCUUGAACCUCCAAAAUCUCUCUGGUCCCAUAUGCUCCCCAUCACCCAAACAGGACCCACCUGGGUUUGAGUAAAUGCAACCGGUUGGGCUGACAAUACCCCCCCCCCCCGUGUUCGAAGUCCCUGCACUACCUGCUAUAGAGUACAGGUGGCAGGAGUCUGAGCACUUCCCCCAACUUGAGAAGUAGAUGGCGUGGUUAGAACUGAAAUCGAUAGAGCAAGGCUAGUGCAACCAGUUAAUAUAUGAGCCAAAGCCUUGUGGAGGCCUGGAAUCAUAAUGGGCACUGCUGAUGGCUGAGCUGGCCCCACCGCCUCAACCAAAUCUAGAAUCAGCUCCCGAACUGGAGCAACUAGUGGGUCUAUAGGUGUUGUUCGAGCUGCACCUUAGCCUCUACCACAACCCCGACCUCUUGUGGCCCUAGCUGGUGGUACUGGUGCACCUCUACCUUAUCUGGUAGCACGUAUCCUCAACAUUUAUGUGAGAAUAGAGUAUAGAAGUUUAGUUCCCAAAAUUAACAAAUUUGCACGACCAAAUAUAAGAAAGUGAAGUGUUCCUAAGGGUUAAGCAACCUCUCAAAGAUAAACAAACGUCUCCAUACUGAUUUGCAUGACUCUACCACCUACAAGCUCCUGAUACCUGUGUAACCUAGGCUUUGAUACCAACUUUUCACGACCAAAAAUUUAUCAUGAUGUGAUCUUGCCUAUCACAGAACUAGGCAAGCCAACAUUUACGACAAAUCUAGGAAUUUUGUAUUAAUAAUAAGAUGAAGAUAGUUUAAUAGUAAUAACUCUCAUAAAUAGCUGAUAUAAACAGUUGCGACUUGAAUACAAUUUUCCCAAAACCCCAGUGUCACUGAGUACAUGAGCAUCUAUUCAAUAACAUAGUCUGAAACACCAUCUAGGAAGGUAGAUUAGUACAGUAAAACUAAGAUAUAGAGGAUAAGAGUCAAGGUCUAUGGACGUCAAAAAAGCUACCUCGAUGAUCUCCAAAUGAGCAAAAACUUCAAGUUCAGCAACCAUCGUGCCAAAAAACACCGAGAUAUACACACUAAGUACAGGGUGUAGCGUAAGUACAACUAACUCAAUAAGUAACAAGUCAAACCUUUAGGCUAAAAAAAGUGAUGAUCUCAACCAAUACAUCAAAAAUAUAGACUUUAACAAUAUAGAAAAUGUAGACAUGCUUCCAAGAUUAAUGGUUUAGUUCAACAUAGAAAAAAUAUACCAAGUGUGACUAAUAUGAGGAAUAUGACAUCUCUAUAUCUUUUUGCCAAUAUGAAUUAUGUGAUGCAACACAAUGAAUAUCUCAAGUACUCACACUCUCAUAGCACUCAAUCUGACUGUCCCAAUUCUUACUUGUCAUACUCAGUCAUUCUACAUUAUACAGUACCUGUUGCGGCAUGCAACCCCAUCCACAUAUAGCCAUAAGGCAUUUUGUGAUGCGCAAUUGGAUCCACAUAUAGAGAUAAAGCUUAUUGCGGUAUGCAACCCAACCACAUAUAGCCAUACGGCUUGUUGUGGUGUGAAACCCGAUCCACAUAUAUCCAUAAGGUGUGUCAGCGUGUGACCCGAUCCACAUAUCUCUCUCACAACAUAGCUAUUAGAUCCUAACUCAGUCAUCAAUCUCUCCAGUCUCUCGUGCUCACCUCACUCAUGUUAAGAAGCCUAAAUCAAUUAUACAUGAUGUAAUAAUAAACGAUACAAAGACUGAGCUAUAAAAUGCAAUGAUGAAUGCGACUGAGUAUGUAACUGUAAUUAAAGAAAAUAAUCUAAACAGCAAAAGAACGACCACUAGGGGUCCUACUAGUACCAACUUAUUACCUAAUCAUGAUUUCCAACAUAACUCACAACUUAACUGCUAUAACACAUAGAGUACAAUAAUAAUAUUCAGAUAAUGUGACUACAAAGUCCCACAAAAUAGACUAAAACAUAAUUACUAUUGUUCACGCCCAUACGCCCAUCACCUAGCAAAAGAACGACCACAAGAAGUCCCAAUAGUACCAACUUAUAGCCUAAAUUUGAUUUCAAAAAUAAUUCACUUCUCAAGUGCUCUAACACAUAGUGUAUAAUGAUAAUAUUCGAAUAAGGUGACAACAUAGUCCCACGAAAUCGACUAAGUCAUAAUUACUACGUGCACGCCCACAUGCCUAUCACACAGUAUAUGUGUCACCUCAACAAUGAUCGCAUACCAUAAAAUUCAGGUAUUCAUAGCCUGAGAACAAAGUUUAGAAGUGUUAACCUCAUACCGUGCAAAUCUCUACUCUAAUAAGCCUUUGCCUCAUGAAUCAACCUCUGAACGCCUCGAAUCUAGCCACAAAUUAUUUGAUAUAGUCAACUCAUGCUAUUGGAAUCAAUUCCAUAUGAAAAUUCUAAGUUCUUAAUAAAAAAUCAGCUUAAAAAGUCAACUACAAGCCCAUGUCUCGAAAUCCAAAAAAGUUACAAAAUUCGAAUCCCCAUUCAACCACGAGUUCAAUCAUACCAAAUUAACCAAAUUCCAACACCAAAUCGUCACUCAAAUCCCAAAAUUUCACUCUCCAAUCCCUAGCCCAAAACUCCUAAAAUUUUGUCUUAAAACACAUAAACUAUGUGGGAAAUUUAAUGGGUAAUUAAUACUAUUGAAUAAAAAUGAUCAAUAGUGAUUUACCUCAAGAAAUCACUCAAAAUCCCUUUCAAAUAUCGCCUUAAUCUGAUCUUGUAAAGUACAAUAAUGAUUAAAACAUCGGAACCCUUCAAAUUUAAACAUUGUUAGGCGUUUCGCUUCUACAGACCUUUAAGCCGCUUCUGCGGUUACGCUUUCUAGUCGAAUCUCCCAUCUUUAGAGUUACACUUGAAACCCGACCUUGUGCACCUGCGGUCUCUAGCCCCUACCUGCGGGUGUGCUUCAGUGACAAAACUUUUGCUUUUGCGGACCUGCCUCGUCAGCCCCCUGCUCUUGGGAUGCUCCUUCCAUAUCUGCAACGUCACAAGUAUGGAACUCCCUUCACACCUGCACAAAUCCCCCAAUUCACCUCUAAUUUCAUCUGCGACACCUAUGGCUGCUUCUUCGGCUUCAUACCAAUAACAAAUCCUCCACAUGUGCGAUUGAACGAGAUAUUAGCAGUAACAGCAUACACCUAAGUCCAAUCUCCAAUUUGAUUCUCCUGGGGCCCCUAGGACCUCAACCAAACAUACCUACACAUCUCAAAACAUGAUACAAACUUAGCCGAGGACUCUAAUCACAUCAAACAAUACGAAAAAUAUGAAUUGUACCCCAAUUCAAGCCUACUGAAAACUAAAAAAUCCCAGCUUCUAAAAUUGAUGUCGAAACCUAUCAAAUCAAUUUCGAUUGAUCUCAAAUUUUUCAAAUAAGUUAUAGAUUACACAACAGACCUAUUCCAAAUUACAAAAACAAAAUCCAAGCCCAGUAACCACAACUUCAACUCUCGGUCAAGCCUCACAACUCUCCAAACUUCUAAUUAACCACACUCGCCAUUUCAAGCCAAAAUCACAUAAGGACCUCAUAAUCGCUUUCUUGACACACUUAUAAGUCCCAUAUCACCAUACAAAACUAUCAAAACCACAAAAAUGUCAUUCUGAAGCCAUUUACACAUAAAUCAAUAUUUGGUCAACUCUUUCAACAUAGACUUCCAACCAUAGAACUAAGUGUUCCAACUCAUUCUGAAACAUCACUGUAACCAGACCACCAACCUCGAAUAGUCACAUAGCAGCAAUUGAUCAAAGAAUAAGCAGUAAAUAGGAGAAAGGAGCUAUAACACUCAAAAAUUGGCCAAGUCGUUAUAGUUUGGUUACUCGCCCCGACACAAGCAUUGUCCUAGGACUUGAGUCCCUUGGGAAUUUUAAUGCAUUGGGGGAUUCAAAGGGAGGCAUCGACCUUGAUUAUAACUCCCCCUUAAGCCUCUAAUUCAUUGAAACUUUUGAUUCUUUAGGGGUUUAGUGUUUAGCGACAACAUAAAAACAUAUAUUAAUUAAUUUUACCUAUGGGGUUAAUUCCCUCUUACAAUGUUAGCAAAAAGACUUACCUCGUCUUCAAGCCUACUUUCCUGUCCAAGAUAGUGCCCAAACCCUCAAUUUGGUGCCAAACAACUCAAAACUAGUCAAAUAUUACAUAAAACAGUCAAUACAUGCUCAAUAGUUCAUAUCCUAACUAUCAAAGUGAUUUCCUAAGCCUAUUUUUAAAAUACCUAAAAUUCACCUCACCCAAUGUACCUAGAUUCUGGAAAUUGUUUAAGGAAGUUAUUACCUAUAACCCCAUGAACUCAAAUGUAUGAUUUUCACUUAAUUCCAUUACUAAUUUCGUGGUUUACUCAUUUUUAUCAAAAACCUAGGCUUUCAUCUAAAUCCUUGAUUUUCACUAAUUUAUAUACGUUAAUCUACCCAUAAUCUAUGUAUUUAACCCAUGUUGUGUAGAAAUACUUACCUUAAAGUGCUAGGAGAAAACCCUCUUCCAAAAGCACCAAAACUCAUCCAAGAGUGAGAGGAAAAAGCUAAAUGGUCUAGGUCAGCCAAUUAAUAAGAUGUGCACAAUUCUCAGAUGUCGUAUUUGCAACAUCUGUUUGCAAAUGCGAAAAUUCCAUCGCAAAUGCAAAGCAGAGCUUAUGCUGCCAAGGUCUCAAAUACGACCAAGGAGUCCCAAAUACAGACUUUACUGAGAUCCCAAAUGUGACCAUUGUGUUUCAAAUACGAACACUACCCAGGUCGGGCAUUCUUCGCAAUUGUGAAGCCCUUCUCGAAAAUGUGAGGUUCCGCAUUGGUGAAAAUUUUCUCGCAUUUGUAAGACCUACAACUGCUGCUAAGAAACAUACAAAAACUAAAGUGUUUAUCAUUCUUCCGAACGUUUGAAACUUACCCGAGCCAUUGGGGAUCCACACCGACCACCCAAAAAAAUCUAACAACACCAAAUGAACUUGCUUACACAACCGGAAUACUGAAAUAACAACAAAAAUAACGAAUGAGAUGCCAAAAUGCAUGGAUUAACUCUUGAACUCAAAAACUUCUAAAAACACUUCCGCGCAUCUGAUUCCUAUCAAAUCAACUCGGAAUGACGCUAAAUUUUGCGUGAAAGUCUUAAAUGACAUUAUGGACUUACUCCAAUUUUCCAAACUGGAAUACUAACAUGAUAUUAAAAAGUCCACCAUCGGUCAAAUUUUCCAAAAACUUCAAAAUUUUAACUUUCACCAAAUGAUCCUGAAACGACCUACAGAUCUCUGAAUCCUGUUACAGAUGUGCUCUUAAGUAGAAUCACCAUACUGAGUUCUUCCCAAGCUCGAAAUCCCAAAUGGAAAUCAGAACGCAAGCGUUGAGUCUUUCAUCGAAACAAAGAGAGAGGCCCAGCUGAUGCUUUUUUCUGUGUUAGCCAGGUGAAAGUAGAAUGUAAAAAUUCACUUCAUCUAAACUUAUGGAAUUCACUCAAAAUGUCAACUUUCACUAUUAGGCGCCGAAACGCUCUCGGAUCGUCCAAAACUUGAUUCGAACAUACGCCCAAAUCCAAAAUCACCAUACGAACCUACUAGAACCGUUAAAUCCUGAUUUCAAGUUUGUUUACUCAAAAUGUUAACCGAAGUCAAACUUAGCCUUUUAAACCAACCUUAAGGAAUCAAGUGUUCCGAUUUCAAUCCGAAUCCUUUCAAAUUCUGAACUAACCAUUCCCACAAGAUAUAAACAUAGUAAAGUCAUAUACGGAAAGUCUUAAUUAAGAGAACGUAAUUCUAGAAAGCAAACCAAUAGGUCGGGUCAUCACCACCACCGCCACCCACAACCCAACCACAACCCCACCCUCCAUCCUAAAUAAAUAUGUUAUUAAGGUAAUGUUCUUUUCAUGCUGUAGAUAAAGUAUUUUCUUUUCCAUUUCAACAAAAUGAAAUUUUCUAUUAUUUCAACAUAAAAUUGCUUUCUUUUGAAGAUGUAGAAGUAUUUUUUUUAUAUCAACAAAAUGAUGUGGUAAAAAGUAUUUUCUUUUAUUUUAACAAAAAAAUAAUUUAAUUUCAUAUUGUAGAAGAUUACUUUUUUUAAAAACCAAAAAAUAGUAUUUUUUGGGUUAUGGAGAAUAAAUUUUAACAUUGUUUUUACGUGAAAAAGGUAAAACAACACAUUAGUUCCUUUGGGUUUGUAUGAAAUUUUUUAAAGAAAAAAAUAAAUUUUCGAAGAAAAUAAAAUCCUCAAAACGUUGGGUAUUUGUGUUGGAGGUGGGGUGGGGGGAGAGCACAGAAAAAUUGGG